Molecule: long non-coding RNA, 362 nt
Organism: Peromyscus eremicus (cactus mouse)
Lineage: Eukaryota; Metazoa; Chordata; Mammalia; Rodentia; Cricetidae
Exons: 2
Source: RefSeq, a predicted model, not a curated record
AUACAUCAACACAUGAGUGAGAUUUGACCAUUACCAUUGAGACAACAGGGAAGGACACUUUUUCAACUGCAUCUAAGGCCAGGCCAGGGAGCUGUCAUUUAAGAUGGCCCUCACAUCAGCCCACAUUCUCCUAAGGCAGCUCUCUGUUUUGAGGAAAAGGAAAACCGAACACCAGCAACAUAUUCUAGAAGAACCAAGACAUGGAAGAGGUGAUACCAGGGACCCCCUUCCUCUAGGAGAAUUCUGGGAAAUUCGAGAAGGACCUGGAAAACAGAUUUGGAGGGUCAAACUGUUGAUAGUCUGCAGCCUGCUUGGGAUCAGGCAAAGGUUUUGACUGACAAUAUAUAGUCUUUACACGUGGA